Molecule: ribosomal RNA, 1222 nt
Filed under: uncultured organism
Description: bacterial SSU rRNA
Rfam family: Bacterial small subunit ribosomal RNA
Source: RNAcentral
GGCGUGCUUAACACAUGCAAGUCGAGCGAGAAGCCAAUGUUUGAUUCUUCGGAAGAUUACUUUGGUGGAAAGCGGCGGACGGGUGAGUAACGCGUGGGCAACCUACCUGGUACAGGGGGACAACAUCGGGAAACCGGUGCUAAUACCGCAUAACACAUUGAGAUGGAAUCAUUAUGAUGUCAAAGGAGGAAUCCGGUAUAAGAUGGGCCCGCGUCCAAUUAGCUAGUUGGUGAGGUAACGGCUCACCAAGGCGACGAUUGGUAGCCGAACUGAGAGGUUGAUCGGCCACAUUGGGACUGAGACGACGGCCCAGACUCCUACGGGAGGCAGCAGUGGGGAAUAUUGCACAAUGGGGGAAACCCUGAUGCAGCAACGCCGCGUGAAGGAUGAAGGUCUUCGGAUUGUAAACUUCUUUGAUUGGGGAAGAAGAAGUGACGGUACCCAAAAAACAAGCCACGGCUAACUACGUGCCAGCAGCCGCGGUAAUACGUAGGUGGCAAGCGUUGUCCGGAAUUACUGGGUGUAAAGGGCGUGUAGGCGGGGAUGCAAGUCAGGUGUGAAAGCCCAUGGCUCAACUGUGGGACUGCAUCUGAAACUGAAUCUCUUGAGUACUGGAGAGGGAAGUGGAAUUCCUAGUGUAGCGGUGAAAUGCGUAGAGAUUAGGAGGAACACCAGUGGCGAAGGCGGCUUCCUGGACAGUAACUGACGCUGAGGCGCGAAAGCGUGGGGAGCGAACAGGAUUAGAUACCCUGGUAGUCCACGCCGUAAACGAUGGAUACUAGGUGUAGGAGGUAUCGACCCCUUCUGUGCCGGAGUUAACACAUUAAGUAUCCCACCUGGGGAAUACGACCGCAAGGUUGAAACUCAAAGGAAUUGACGGGGGCCCGCACAAGCAGUGGAGUAUGUGGUUUAAUUCGAAGCAACGCGAAGAACCUUACCAGGGCUUGACAUCCCUUGACAGCUCUAGAGAUAGAGUUUCCCUUCGGGGCAAGGAGACAGGUGGUGCAUGGUUGUCGUCAGCUCGUGUCGUGAGAUGUUGGGUUAAGUCCCGUAACGAGCGCAACCCUUAUUGUUAGUUGCCAGCAAGUAAGGUUGGGCACUCUAACGAGACUGCCGGUGAUAAAUCGGAGGAAGGUGGGGAUGACGUCAAAUCAUCAUGCCCCUUAUGUCCUGGGCUACACACGUACUACAAUGGCUGGUACAGAGGGGAGCUAAGCCGCGA